ACAUCCAAAGAUAGAAAGAUGUAAGGUCUAGAGUCUUGUUCUUAAUCCCCUAACAGAACAAUGAUAUAUAUAAAUAAAUAUGGGUCGAUAUCGGCUGUGGAGGACGACUAGCUACGGUUUCGAGCCUGGUCACAUGCGUAGAGUG
RNAcentral lists this unclassified non-coding RNA (145 nucleotides) under Arabidopsis thaliana (thale cress). RNAcentral's name for it is "partial MIR156e microRNA precursor". Lineage: Eukaryota; Viridiplantae; Streptophyta; Magnoliopsida; Brassicales; Brassicaceae. The record is from RNAcentral.